RNAcentral lists this ribosomal RNA (253 nucleotides) under uncultured bacterium. RNAcentral's name for it is "partial 16S ribosomal RNA". It matches the Rfam family "Bacterial small subunit ribosomal RNA", at positions 524 to 776 of the family's 1533-position model. The record is from RNAcentral.
UACGUAGGGGGCGAGCGUUGUCCGGAAUUACUGGGCGUAAAGGGAGCGUAGGCGGCCGAUUAAGUUGGAUGUGAAAUCCCCGGGCUUAACUUGGGUGGUGCAUCCAAUACUGGUUGGCUAGAGUACAGGAGAGGAAAGCGGAAUUCCUGGUGUAGCGGUGAAAUGCAUAGAUAUCAGGAGGAACAUCGGUGGCGAAGGCGGCUUUCUGGACUGACACUGACGCUGAGGCUCGAAAGCGUGGGGAGCAAACAGG